RNAcentral lists this ribosomal RNA (466 nucleotides) under uncultured bacterium. Its description in RNAcentral is "partial 16S ribosomal RNA". It matches the Rfam family "Bacterial small subunit ribosomal RNA", at positions 28 to 507 of the family's 1533-position model. The record is from RNAcentral.
GACGACCGCUGGCGGCGUGCUUAACACAUGCAAGUCGAACGGAAAGGCCCUGCUUGCAGGGUCCUCGAGUGGCGAACGGGUGAGUAACACGUGGGUGAUCUGCUCUGCACUUCGGGAUAAGCUUGGGAAACUGGGUCUAAUACCGGAUAGGAGCCAUCUUUAGUGUGGGGGUUGGAAAGUUUUUUCGGUGUAGGAUGAGCUCGCGGCCUAUCAGCUUGUUGGUGGGGUAAUGGCCUACCAAGGCGGCGACGGGUAGCCGGCCUGAGAGGGUGUACGGCCACAUUGGGACUGAGAUACGGCCCAGAGUCCGACGGGAGGCAGCAGUGGGGAAUAUUGCACAAUGGGCGCAAGCCUGAUGCAGCGACGCCGCGGGGGGGAUGAAGGCCUUCGGGUGGUAAACUCCUUUCGCUAGGGACGAAGCUUUUUUGUGACGGUACCUAGAGAAGAAGCACCGGCUAACUACGUG